RNAcentral lists this ribosomal RNA (216 nucleotides) under Glomeromycotina sp. Its description in RNAcentral is "partial small subunit ribosomal RNA". The stretch from base 40 to 216 matches the Rfam family "Eukaryotic small subunit ribosomal RNA", at positions 686 to 864 of the family's 1831-position model. Lineage: Eukaryota; Fungi; Glomeromycota. The record is from RNAcentral.
GGGUCAGUAGGUUGGUCGUGCCACCGGUACGUACUGGUCUCACUGAUUCCUCCUUCCUGAAGAACCGUAAUGCCAUUAAUUUGGUGUUGCGGGGAAACAGGACUGUUACUUUGAAAAAAUUAGAGUGUUUAAGGCAAGCUAACGCUUGAAUACAUUAGCAUGGAAUAAUGAAAUAGGACGAUCGAUCCUAUUUUGUUGGUUCCUAGGAUUGACGUA